Apodemus sylvaticus (European woodmouse) is the source of this 2279-nucleotide long non-coding RNA. RefSeq lists it as uncharacterized. The record is from RefSeq and is a predicted model, not a curated record. The transcript is spliced from 3 exons. Lineage: Eukaryota; Metazoa; Chordata; Mammalia; Rodentia; Muridae.
GUGUUUCCGGAGCGCCUACUGUGUGCUCCUCCAUGGGGGUGGGGGCACUACCGGGCACAAAGAGUGUCAGUCCCCGUACCUCUGUAAGUUCGUCUCUUCCUCUGGGAGCUUGCCCUUGUGGGGAUGGGGAAACUGAGGCUUGGUAGGUGCGGAGGCUAACUCCCAGGUGCUAAGGGACCGGUUGUUUUGUCCGCCCGUGGGGUCGCGGCGAAGGCCACUUUGGAUAAAACCUCAAGCCUAGCGCAGAGGGUCGGCCAGGGGUGAGUACAGGCUGCGCCCCAGGAGCGUGGGUGAGGCAGGCAGGUACCGUGUCGUAAUUUGGAGGUGGCCGCCGUUACUCGCUGGUCCCUGACUUACCACGUGUGCCAGUGUCCUUUGGCCCAGGUGGGUCUGAUGAUAGAGCCCGACUGAGCCUUUCCCUUGCUGGCUAGCCCCAGAUGGAGAGGGUGAGUCUUGGCGCUUCCAGAGGUCCAGGCUAGUGUCAUUUUUCCUCAAGUUUUUCUUGCCUCCAGGUUCCCUGACUGUCUGUCUCUUGCUUUCUGCAUUAGUGUGACGGAGCCUAACUCCAGCUAACAGAGACCUUUUCUGGGUUUAUGACCCUACAGGCCCAGGAAACUGAGACCCACGUGCCAGUACCAACAGCGCUGGAACAAUCUUCUCUUGAUUACUAUUUUCUAAAUACUGUUAUCUUACAGUCUUUACUGUUGAGUUUGGGUCAGACUUAAGAGCGGCACACGUGCUUCAGCUAAGUGACAGAGACAACAGCUGUCAUUGCUACUUCAGGACCAACUUUUGUUUUUCAUUGCACUGUAGUCACAAAAACUUUGGGGACAAAAGUAAACCUCUCCUCCCAGAAAGCCCUAAGCCAGUCAGGAUGCUGAUUAAAAGCAUCUUGAGGUGGGUUUCAUAGAAGCCAGACUUGCCUGAAUAUCCUUUAAUCCAAGAUGGCCAUCCAGAAUCUAAAACAUUGCCCAGAACCCCCCUUUUUACCGAUGGAGAAACCAAAGCUCAGAGAGUUGGUCAAAGCAGUUUCUUGGCCAAGUCAUAGUCCAUCCACAGACCUUUGAAAGAAUGAAGGAGAUGGGAAAUCUUAGGUAAGAAAGGUAAAAACCACUUAGGUCUUGGCAAAAGGCAGGGGACCUUCAUAUAGGUGUGACUUGGAGGGAUAAUGAGGGACAGACAGCCUGGUGAGUCUGGAGAUGUGACCGCUUCUUAGCUGCUAAGCUUGGUCUCAUUCUAGGCAUGGGCAGCAGGUAUAAGAGCCUUAUCUUUUCUUUGGGACAGGACUCUCCACAGAUUCCACCAGUGACAGCCUGCUAAGCCAGUGUCCUCAAGUCUACUCAGAUGAGUGACAUGUUCUUCCCCAUGCUGGGUGACAGUAAGGAACUGUGCCGAGCAUGGUGACCCACGCUUUUAAUCUCAGCACUUGGAGGUGAAGACAAGUGGAUCUUUGUGAGCUCAAGGCCAUCCUGGAGUACAAAGAGAUCUGCUGUGUGACACCGCCCCCAAGAGGUCACGACCCCAGAUUGAGAACCACUGUUGGGAGAGCUUGAGAACCUGUCUCUGUACUGCCAGACAAAUAGGUAGAGAGCCUUCAUCCAUCCUGGAAGGAGAGAGCCUUCCUGACAGUGAGCUGGGGGUGGGGGUGUCUGACCUCUGGGGAGGGUCUGGAGUGAGGCAGGAGAGUGGCUGCUGGGUCGUCUUCCUCUGUACCCUGCUCUGUAGCAGAGAGCUGCAGGUCAGAGAAGCUGGUGGGGAGGAGACUCUGCCUCGUGCAGCCCUGUUCCUAGGGUUCUUGGUGGUCACAGAGGCGCAGUAAAUGUCGCAAGAAUCUGCAUUGGUUGGAAGUGACAAAGGGACCAGCUGUGACAGGUAGUCACCUCAUCUGAAGAGGUCUGGGAUCCUUCCCGGAUGGAGGAGGAGCCACAGCAGGCCAGCCUUCAGGAUGGCGAUUCAUGGCUCCUGUGAGAUUCUUGUCUCCAUCCCACGUGGAUUUCCCACUUAACUGCUUCUUUUGUUUGUUUGUUUCUUUUUGUUGUUUUUGUUUUGUUUUGGGGUUUUUUUUGUUUUGUUUUGGUUUUUGGUUUUUUUGAGACAGGGUUUCUCUGUAUAGCCCUGGCUGUCCUGGAACUCACUCUGUAGACUCAGAAAUCCGCCUGCCUCUGCCUCCCAGGUGCUGGGAUUACAGGCCUGCGCCACCACAACAAUCUCUUUUUAUUGCAAGAUAUUUCCUAUCCAUUCACAUUGGGGCAAUGAGAGGCUGGUGAUUGGAGAGGAGA